RNAcentral lists this ribosomal RNA (500 nucleotides) under uncultured bacterium. RNAcentral's name for it is "partial 16S ribosomal RNA". It matches the Rfam family "Bacterial small subunit ribosomal RNA", at positions 30 to 523 of the family's 1533-position model. The record is from RNAcentral.
AUUGAACGCUGGCGGCAGGCCUAACACAUGCAAGUCGAGCGGCAGCGGGACCUUCGGGUUGCCGGCGAGCGGCGGACGGGUGAGUAAUGCCUAGGAAUCUGCCUGUUAGUGGGGGAUAACGCGGGGAAACUCGCGCUAAUACCGCAUACGUCCUACGGGAGAAAACGGGGGCUCUUCGGACCUCGCGCUAACAGAUGAGCCUAGGUCGGAUUAGCUAGUUGGUGGGGUAAUGGCUCACCAAGGCGACGAUCCGUAACUGGUCUGAGAGGAUGAUCAGUCACACUGGAACUGAGACACGGUCCAGACUCCUACGGGAGGCAGCAGUGGGGAAUAUUGGACAAUGGGCGAAAGCCUGAUCCAGCCAUGCCGCGUGUGUGAAGAAGGUCUUCGGAUUGUAAAGCACUUUAAGUCGGGAGGAAGGGCUGUAGGUUAAUACCCUGCGGUUUUGACGUUACCGACAGAAUAAGCACCGGCUAACUUCGUGCCAGCAGCCGCCGUAA